This 1125-nucleotide ribosomal RNA is filed under the name Staphylococcus condimenti. RNAcentral's name for it is "bacterial SSU rRNA". It matches the Rfam family "Bacterial small subunit ribosomal RNA", at positions 347 to 1462 of the family's 1533-position model. The record is from RNAcentral. Lineage: Bacteria; Bacillati; Bacillota; Bacilli; Caryophanales; Staphylococcaceae.
GGCAGCAGUAGGGAUUCUUCCGCAAUGGGCGAAAGCCUGACGGAGCAACGCCGCGUGAGUGAUGAAGGUCUUCGGAUCGUAAAAUUCUGUUAUUAGGGAAGAACAAGUGCGUAGGUAACUAUGCGCACCUUGACGGUACCUAAUCAGAAAGCCACGGCUAACUACGUGCCAGCAGCCGCGGUAAUACGUAGGUGGCAAGCGUUAUCCGGAAUUAUUGGGCGUAAAGCGCGCGUAGGCGGUUUUUUAAGUCUGAUGUGAAAGCCCACGGCUCAACCGUGGAGGGUCAUUGGAAACUGGAAAACUUGAGUGCAGAAGAGGAAAGUGGAAUUCCAUGUGUAGCGGUGAAAUGCGCAGAGAUAUGGAGGAACACCAGUGGCGAAGGCGACUUUCUGGUCUGCAACUGACGCUGAUGUGCGAAAGCGUGGGGAUCAAACAGGAUUAGAUACCCUGGUAGUCCACGCCGUAAACGAUGAGUGCUAAGUGUUAGGGGGUUUCCGCCCCUUAGUGCUGCAGCUAACGCAUUAAGCACUCCGCCUGGGGAGUACGGCCGCAAGGCUGAAACUCAAAGGAAUUGACGGGGACCCGCACAAGCGGUGGAGCAUGUGGUUUAAUUCGAAGCAACGCGAAGAACCUUACCAAAUCUUGACAUCCUUUGACCGCUCUAGAGAUAGAGUCUUCCCCUUCGGGGGACAAAGUGACAGGUGGUGCAUGGUUGUCGUCAGCUCGUGUCGUGAGAUGUUGGGUUAAGUCCCGCAACGAGCGCAACCCUUAAGCUUAGUUGCCAGCAUUAAGUUGGGCACUCUAAGUUGACUGCCGGUGACAAACCGGAGGAAGGUGGGGAUGACGUCAAAUCAUCAUGCCCCUUAUGAUUUGGGCUACACACGUGCUACAAUGGACAGUACAAAGGGCAGCGAAACCGCGAGGUCAAGCAAAUCCCAUAAAGCUGUUCUCAGUUCGGAUUGUAGUCUGCAACUCGACUACAUGAAGCUGGAAUCGCUAGUAAUCGUAGAUCAGCAUGCUACGGUGAAUACGUUCCCGGGUCUUGUACACACCGCCCGUCACACCACGAGAGUUCGUAACACCCGAAGCCGGUGGAGUAACCUUUUAGGAGCUAGCCGUCGAAGG